CAUUUAAAGGUUUAGUUUUAAAUAUAACCUGCUCCAUGAAAUAUUUAAAUAGCUGUAGUAAUACACUAAGGUAGCAUAAUCAUUUGUUUAUUAAUUGUAAACUUGUAUGAAAGGUAAAACGUAUAUGUAAGUUGAUAUUUUUAUUCUUUGAAUUUUAAUUUCUAGUAAGAAUGCUAGAAUUUAUUUUGGGGACGAGAAGACCCUACGAAGUUUGAAAUGGAUUUAUUAAGAAUGAAUAUGAUAAAUUAUUUUGGUUGGGGCAACUCUUUAAGAAUAGGUAGCUUAAGGAUAAUUAUAUAUUUAUUUGAUCCAUUAAUUAUGACUAAUUGAAAAGUUACUCUAGGGAUAACAGCAUAAUGAAAGUUUAUAAGAUCAUAUUUACAAUUUUGUUUAUGACCUCGAUGUUGAAUUACUUUACUAUAAGAAGAAGAAGAUUUAUAAGUGGGUCUGUUCGACCUUUAAAAAAGUACA
RNAcentral lists this ribosomal RNA (471 nucleotides) under Siro acaroides. Its description in RNAcentral is "partial 16S ribosomal RNA". It matches the Rfam family "Bacterial large subunit ribosomal RNA", at positions 1829 to 2600 of the family's 2925-position model. The record is from RNAcentral. Lineage: Eukaryota; Metazoa; Arthropoda; Arachnida; Opiliones; Sironidae.